AAAUACAAAGUUCCUCUGUCCACUCGGGCAGAGUCUCCUUUGUAUUUGCACGGCGUACCAACGGAUACAACAGGAUCACAACCACAAUCUACAUUUACCAAUCAACAACCAAGGCAUGAUAUGCAUUUCCAUACAGCUAACAAUCCUUAGAAUGAUGCAUGCCUCUAAGCACUCCUUAGGCGCUGGAUGAUGCAAUGCACAAUACAACAAACAUCCUAUUUAAAAGUGCUCCCCACACGGAAGCUUUUGUUUUUAAACUCUAAUUUAUUCAUUCAUAAAAAUCAUUCGAAAACCUUUUUAAAACUGUUUCCCACACGGAAACUCUAUUUUGAAAACCGACUACCUCGAGGGGUAGAAAACCACGAUAUGUAAAUACAAGAAAANNNNNNNNNNNNNNNNNNNNNNNNNNNNNNNNNNNNNGAACGCCCCUCCACGUGCGAUCCCUCGCGAAACGGUACAUAAAAUAUCGCGACUUUCGCGAAAAUACCGUUUUGCCACCACCGACCUCUCCUCGAUCAACGCGCGAUCUCCGCAGAUCCGUCCGUCAGAUUUGCGAACUGAUUGCACCGGUGCGAUCAGCACCUCGGAGACAACAAAGCUGCGAUUUCGUUUAAUCUUGAUCGACCGCGGAUUCACGACAAAAUCCAACCUUUCGUUCCGAUCGAAAGAAACACACAAAAAUACAUAUAAAACAUGUAUUUUUGGAUUUUUCUCGAAAUCCGUGCGUCGAACUCAAAAUCCGUCAACGUCAUUAGUUCCAGAAUAGCUGAACCGAUCGAAACGAGCUAUUGGACUGCUAUGAAUAGAGUCCGGUACGAGCCAGAAGCCAACUUCUCACCGCGGCUUCUCCGGAAAAUCGAGUUACUAUUCACUUUAAGUGAAACUUGAAAAUCGCGUAGAAUUUCUGUUUUAACUCGAUUUCGCCCGAAACUUGACAAGUGCUUUUGUAAUUAAAUUACACACAAAAACAUCGUCAACUGAGAGUUUAGCUACACUGCAAAAAUCUCAAUCCUUACACUAAGCCAACACUAUGGAGGAUUGAUUUCUCCUAAUAGAAAU
RNAcentral lists this long non-coding RNA (1059 nucleotides) under Ananas comosus (pineapple). RNAcentral's name for it is "long non-coding RNA (ACOM_LNC024004)". Lineage: Eukaryota; Viridiplantae; Streptophyta; Magnoliopsida; Poales; Bromeliaceae. The record is from RNAcentral.